AACGAACGCUGGCGGCGUGCUUAACACAUGCAAGUCGAACGAGAAAGCGGGCUUCGGUCCGCUAGUAAAGUGGCAGACGGGUGAGUAACACGUGGGUAACCUGCCCGGAGGUGGGGGACAACCCUCCGAAAGGAGGGCUAAUACCGCAUGAUAUCCCUGAGGCUUCGGCCUUGAGGAUCAAAGCUAGCCUCUACAUGUAAGCUAGCUCCACCGGAGGGGCCCGCGGCCCAUUAGCUAGUUGGGAGGUAACGGCUCACCAAGGCGACGAUGGGUAGCCGGCCUGAGAGGGUGUUCGGCCACACUGGAACUGAGACACGGUCCAGACUCCUACGGGAGGCAGCAGUGAGGAAUCUUGCGCAAUGGGCGAAAGCCUGACGCAGCGACGCCGCGUGGAGGACGAAGGUCUUCGGAUCGUAAACUCCUGUCAAGUGGGACGAAGGCUGUUGGGAUGAAUAAGCCCAGCAGUUGACGGUACCGC
RNAcentral lists this ribosomal RNA (478 nucleotides) under uncultured bacterium. RNAcentral describes it as "bacterial SSU rRNA". It matches the Rfam family "Bacterial small subunit ribosomal RNA", at positions 29 to 481 of the family's 1533-position model. The record is from RNAcentral.